UUGCGUCGCAGCAACCAAUCUUGCUCUUCGGGCGGGCGGACGGGUGAGUGUCUGGGGAUCUUAGAAUAACCACUGGGAACGGGGGGUAAUACCGCGUAACGUCUCAAGAGAACCUUCCCUCUCUCUAUCGGAUGAACCCCGAUGGGAUUAUCUAGUAGGUGGGGUAACGGCUCACCUAGGCGACAAUCCCUAGCUGGGCUGAGAGGAUGACCCCCCACACUGGAACUGAGACACGGUCCAGACUCCUACGGGAGGCAGCAGUGGGGAAUAUUGCACAAUGGGCGCAAGCCUGAUGCAGCCAUGCCGCGUGUAUGAAGAAGGCCUUCGGGUUGUAAAGUACUUUCAGCGGGGAGGAAGGGAUGAAGCUUAAUACGCUUCGUCAUUGACGUUACCCGCAGAAAAAACACCGGCUAACUCCCUGCCAGCAGCCGCGGUAAUACGGAGGGUGCACGCGUUAAUCUGAAUUACUGGGCGUAAAGCGCACGCACGCGGUCUGUCUAGUCGGAUGUGAAAUCCCCGGGCUUAACCUGGGAACUGCAUUCGAAACUGGCAGGCUAUAGUCUUGUAUAGGGGGGUAGAAUUCCAGGUGUAUCGCUGAAAUGCGUAUAGAUCUGGAGGAAUACCGGUGGCGAAGGCGGGGCCCUGGACACAUACUGACGCUCAGGUGCGAAAGCGUGGGGAGCGAACAGGAUAACAUACCCUGUGAGUCCACGCCGUAAACGAUGUCUACUUGUAGGCUGUUCCCUUGGGAGUGGCUUCCCCGAGCUAACGCGUUAAGUCCCGCCGGGGAGUACCGCCCGCGAGGUUUAAAACUCAAAUGAAUUUUACGGGGGGCCCGCACAAGCGCUGGAGAAUUUGGGUUUAAAUUCGAUGCUCACCCGAAGAAA
RNAcentral lists this ribosomal RNA (887 nucleotides) under Pantoea sp. RNAcentral describes it as "bacterial SSU rRNA". It matches the Rfam family "Bacterial small subunit ribosomal RNA", at positions 63 to 969 of the family's 1533-position model. The record is from RNAcentral. Lineage: Bacteria; Pseudomonadati; Pseudomonadota; Gammaproteobacteria; Enterobacterales; Erwiniaceae.